This is a long non-coding RNA of Canis lupus familiaris (dog), 683 nucleotides long. RefSeq lists it as uncharacterized. NCBI's taxonomy places the organism in Eukaryota, Metazoa, Chordata, Mammalia, Carnivora, Canidae. The record is from RefSeq and is a predicted model, not a curated record. The transcript is spliced from 3 exons.
GCACUGGGAAUUCUCUCAGGUUGGCUCCUGUGUCCUUUUAAUUUGCUUCCAUUUUUACUUACUUAUUUUCAGCAUUUACUUUCUGGCAAUUCAAGAUACUACUACAGGCUCAUCUUUGUAUUUUCUCUGCCCCAGCCCUAGAAUCAGCCAUGAAGUCCUCUACUAGGAUUUUAUAAGAACAGAAUCACUCCUCAACAGUCCAGGCUAUGCUAAGAAAGUACUGUCACCACCUGUUCAGCUAUCACAAAGCCUGGCACUCUGUGGACAAUAAAUGCAGAAUGAAACAAAUAAGGUUAUUUUCCUGCUCAGACUUUGGCUGAAAUGGAGUAUAGAAACCUCUUCACAUGUAAGUGUAAGUUGAAUAUGGUAAUACAUUUCAAAAAUGAUGUCAAAGAUGCCACUUGACUACCACAAAUAUGGAAUCAACAUAUGGUGUAUCCCUGAAGAAUAUGAAGAACAUUUUUUAUUUUAGAGGCAGCAUCUAUUUCUUAAUCUACAUGGCAUCUCAAUAAAGCAUAUGAUACUAUUAUACCAGAGGUCUCCACCAGUUAUGAUACUUCUGUACAAACAAUCCUAAAAAGUUCAACAGUUUUCUGAGACUACACAUUAAUAUAUAGAGCAUCUACUAUUCAUAUACUUUAGUGUGUGAGAUACAUACUUUCUCAUGACAAACACGGAAAGUU